This 3669-nucleotide long non-coding RNA is filed under the name Marmota monax (woodchuck). The record is from RNAcentral. Lineage: Eukaryota; Metazoa; Chordata; Mammalia; Rodentia; Sciuridae.
CUGCAACAUGAUAAUGAAUGAUGACCGCUAGGUCAUCCAGAUGUUUAUGUUUGGGUUCAAAUAUUCAGGAAAAUAUAUGAUCUAUAUUUGCAGCAGAUUACACUGAUUUUAAAAGAUUUAGAUAUUAAAGGAAAUGGCUUUGUUAGACAAGAUUAACCUCUUUGGAAUAGCAUAUUUCUAAAUUAUGUCUAGUGAAUGAUACAUUUCUGUAUUCCACUUAUUCAAUUGACAUUCCUUGAGAGAUUACAGUAGAUUGGGCAUGAUUUUGACACUAGCUAUACAAAGACCAUACUUCAUUAUGUCUUUCACUAACAAUGCCUGGUAAAUUGUGUUAUUAGAUGUAUGUAUAUUUAGAGGAAAAAGUGCUAAUUUGGUUAUUUGAUCUCUGCUAUACUUGUAUCAUUUUGUAAAUUACAAAUAUUAGAAGAGUGAGAGAGCUAAAUACUAUUGCAUUGGAAUUUCAAUUGAGGAGUACAAUUGCAGUGUAUACUUUUAUGAAUUUCCUACUGGCUUUUUGGCAGAAUAUUUUAAAAGUUUAGUUCUUUCAUCUUUGUCACCCUAAUUCUAAAAAAAAAAAAUUAGGAAAAUGAUGAAAAAUAAACAAUUAUUUUAAAUGAAGCUUAGCUGGCAUAAUUUAUAAUAAUGAAAAUGCUUUAAGUAUGUACUUGUAGGGAAUAGGUUAAUUGUUCAGUUAUCAGAAUUAGAGUUUGAGAAUACCUAAUGACAUAGGAAAAUGCUUUUGCUAUAUAAUGAUAAGUAAAAACAAUGGCAGGAGGAAAAUAUCCCAGAUUGUUGAUUGACUAUAUUGUGGUGGUGAGAUUAUAGGUAAUUUUCCUUUCCUUUUUAAUUCUUUUGUCUUUUUUUUCUACACUAAAUAUAAAGUGUUACAACUAUAUUUUAAAAAAUCAAACACUAUUUAUAAGAUGGUACUGCUUUUCCAUUCCUGAAGAGAUUGUUUGCAAAUGCUAUCUUGGAAUGUCAUCAGGGGUCACAGUGUUGGAUAUUGUCAAUGACCAAUGCUUGAAUUUGUUUAAAGGCACAAUAAUUUCACAAAUGCAUUUUUAUGAUUUUGUCACUCAUUGAAAAUGACAUUUUCAUGCAUGUUAUCUAUCAAGUUGAAGAAAUGAUAAAAUCUUAUGUUACUAAAGCCAUAGAUGUAAAUACUUAAUGUUCUCUUUUGUUGUCAUGAAUGUGCAGCUCCUCUGUGGGUAGUGCACUUCCAAGAAGACGCUGCUGUGCAUAUAUUACCAUUGGAAUGAUAUGUAUUUUCAUUGGAGUUGGAUUAACUGUGAGUACUGUUUUGUUGUUAGAAUUCUCUUAAGUUUAUCAACGUUAACCAAUGGUGAGGCUUGGGACAACCUUCAGUGACCUCUGAGAUUGCUGCCUCCCUAAACUUCUGAGGAACUAUGGGCAAUCAGAAACCCCAUCCAUGGACUUGGUGUUUUGUUUUGUUUUGGUUUUUCCAUGGACCAGAUUUUAAUGAUGUUCUCCCAUCCAGGUAAAAAGAUGUCUUUGGCCCCCUCUGAAAGUCCUUAACAUUGGGAGAUUUACCAUCCAUUAACAAAAGCCCAUUUGUUUUUAUUCAGUGGCAGAACCAACUUUGCAUGGCCAUGGAGUAUCUUAUAUUCAAAGCAACAAUCACUCUGCUAUGGAGGUCUGAAAAAUCAUUUUUCUCUUAAUCCGUAUCAAGCAGAGAUUUAUUUCCAAUAUGAGGAUGGCUUCUUUUUAGAGGACACUAAAAUGAAACAGUUGGCAUGGGGAUUAUGCCAGGAGAAGAGGAAGGAACUGAUCUGUUUUGCUGUCAUUUGCUUUCCGUGUUCCUAUGUUCCUCAGUUAGUAUACUAUCCCAUAUUAUUGGUAGUGUCCUACUGUGUCACAUGAUAGUAAAGAGUCACAUAGAUUGAAAACCUUAUAGAGAUAACAUAUUUUGGUGUGUUUGUUUACUUAAUAAAAUUUAUAGUUAAUAUAAGUUGCAGUAUGGUUUGUCAGUUAUAGUCAACAGAUACACCUCGAGUUUUAUAGAGAAUUUAUGGCUUCAGUUUGGGGAUGUAUUUCAUAUGAAUCACACAUAAGCUGACCCAGGGUAAGCAGAUAUUUUCUUAAUGUUUCUAAUCUUUUGUUUUUAUAUUGCUUUUUGUUUUAGGUUGGCACUCAAGACUUUGCAAGACGAUUUCAUGCAACCUAUGUUUCUUGGGCAAUUGCUUAUCUUCUAGGUCUGAUUUGCCUUAUCCGAGCUUGUUAUUGGGGAGCCAUAAGAGUCAGUUAUCCAGAACACAGUUUUGCAUAAGCUUGCUUAGGAUUCAAUGAUGUGGGUGAGAGGGUCUAGCAGUUCUUGAUAAGCUAUUCUGGACAUCUUUAAAUCGUUUAUCUUAACAGAUUCCGUUCUAGUUUAUGUGUAAUAGUUUCAAGACUUUGGGAGUCUUUUAUGAGUAAAUAAAUGCUCAUUGCACUGCAUUUUAUGCAAAUAGUUUAUUUUGCUGCUAGGUUUUCAAAUUCAGAAUAACAAAACUGUGUUUUAUGUUCUUUUAAAUCAAUUAAAGAUAUUUUUGGAUGUCACCAAAUAUAACAUAAUAUCACUCUAUCUUAUGUUCAAAUCUGUUAUUCCAUUAAUUGCUGAUCUGUAUUUCCAAGAAGUGUUUAUAAAUGUUUUUACAAUUGUUUCACAUUUAUACUUACAUUUUCAUUAAACAGUAUCAAAAUCGCUUGCUUUAAAAUCAAAGCAAUAUGCAUUUUUGCUUGAACUGCUUACAGUAAUUUUAACCUAAGAUUAUAGUGACCUUAUUCAGGAAAAACAUUUGAGUGUACUUUCAAAAACUUGACAUUGUUGUCAGAGAAACAUUUCUAGAUAACCGUAUGUUGUUUUUUGUUGUUUGUAGAAAGAUAUAAUAUUUUGGUAGUAAUUUAAAAUACAAGAAUGAAAAUAUUUAUUUGUUCACAGUUGGAAAUGUUGGAUAAAUGUCUUUUCUCAAAGAUCACGGGAUUUUUUCCCUUUUUUUCCUUUUUAUUUACCAAUUAUAAAAAUCUGGUCUGCAUUUAUGGAAUUUAAUGUUAACACUAUAUGUAUUCCUUUAUAGAGACUGGAGGAAGUAUUUCACAUGACAUUUUAUAAUACUUAAUCAUUUAAUCAAAAAUAUUUACAUUAGUUUGUGCUCCUUUCCAUUAGAUCAUGGUGAAUUUUUCUGGUUGGGAUAAUUAUGUACCACUUAUAUAUGAAAGAAGCCUAUGACAUUUUGCACUAGCUAAAAUGUUAAGAUUAGAGGUACUCUUACCAUUUUUCUCAAAUAUAACUGGAUAAUUACCCAAUUAAUUUAAGAAAAUAGAUCAGAGAUAAAGAGCAACAUAGUUUUCUAAAAAUUCACUAGGACUUAUGGAAUCAGCUCUUGCACUGCCCAUCUUUGCAGUUUUGAAAAAGAAAUUACUUAAUUGAGAAUAUUCAAAGUCUUUCAUGUGAUAGAAUUAGCUAAUGAGAUGAUCUGAGUAAAUUAAUUGGUGAUUCCAGGGAUAAGACUAAUAUUUUAAAUUAUUUAUGUUCCUAAUUAGUAUAAAAAUGUACUCACCAGAGAGUUUGGAGCAAAAUACAUGUAAACUUCAAAGAGUAAAUGAUAAAUGUAUAAAUGCAGUAGCUCAGGAUUAUAUGUACCUUUGAAACUACACUAAUAAAAAUUAUUG